GAAAGCCCUUCUCCUUCAGUGGUCAGCUAACUACUCCUCCAUGAAGCCAUCCCUGAUUCCUACUCCAGCCCCCAAGGAAGAGCUGCAGGAAACAGAAAAUGCACUGCCUAGAUGGACCCUCUGACUCCCCACCACCCAGGCUGGAGCGGCAGAGGCUGCCAGGAAGAGCCAGAAAACAGGUGAACCCAAGGCCACUCCCUCCCCAGCCUGAGGAACACUCUACUGGUAAGGGGAGAAAUGCCUCAAAUGAGCAUGUGCACAACUUCAGUAAACAUGCUGUGCAUGUGGCCCCUCCCAAGUGCCCGCAGGCCACCACACAAGUGGACAGCCCUGGACAGCCCGCCCCUAGGGAAGAAUCAAGGGAGGAGAAACAGAAGCCCUGGAACUGUGCUAGCAUAUAAAACCCCAAGUCAAGGGCUGAAUGGCACACUUGGAUCUCUCAAGUCACCUGCUUGGCCCCCUUCCAAGUGUAUUUACUUCCAUUUGUUCCUGCUCUAAAACUUUUUAAUAAACUUUCACUCCUGCUCUAAAACUUGCCUCGGUCUCUCCCUCUGCCUUAAAACUACUUCUGCCCCCGCAGCCGAAUUCUU
RNAcentral lists this long non-coding RNA (590 nucleotides) under Homo sapiens (human). Its description in RNAcentral is "HSALNT0018319". Lineage: Eukaryota; Metazoa; Chordata; Mammalia; Primates; Hominidae. The record is from RNAcentral.